UGAUGUUGGAAUGGUCAAAAAUCAUC
RNAcentral lists this non-coding RNA (26 nucleotides) under Rattus norvegicus (Norway rat). Lineage: Eukaryota; Metazoa; Chordata; Mammalia; Rodentia; Muridae. The record is from RNAcentral.